GCUCAGGACGAACGCUGGCGGCGUGCUUAACACAUGCAAGUCGAACGCUGAAGCCUAGCUUGCUGGGUGGAUGAGUGGCGAACGGGUGAGUAACACGUGAGUAACCUGCCCUCUUCUUUGGGAUAACGCCCGGAAAUGGGUGCUAAUACUGGAUAUUCACUGGUCUUCGCAUGGGGGUUGGUGGAAAGGGUUUUUCUGGUGGGGGAUGGGCUCGCGGCCUAUCAGCUUGUUGGUGGGGUGAUGGCCUACCAAGGCUUUGACGGGUAGCCGGCCUGAGAGGGUGACCGGUCACAUUGGGACUGAGAUACGGCCCAGACUCCUACGGGAGGCAGCAGUGGGGAAUAUUGCACAAUGGGCGCAAGCCUGAUGCAGCGACGCCGCGUGAGGGAUGGAGGCCUUCGGGUUGUGAACCUCUUUCGCUCAUGGUCAAGCCGCAACUGUGGGUUGUGGUGAGGGUAGUGGG
RNAcentral lists this ribosomal RNA (463 nucleotides) under Schaalia meyeri. RNAcentral describes it as "bacterial SSU rRNA". It matches the Rfam family "Bacterial small subunit ribosomal RNA", at positions 22 to 482 of the family's 1533-position model. The record is from RNAcentral. Lineage: Bacteria; Bacillati; Actinomycetota; Actinomycetes; Actinomycetales; Actinomycetaceae.